Molecule: transfer RNA, 69 nt
Filed under: Doru luteipes
Lineage: Eukaryota; Metazoa; Arthropoda; Insecta; Dermaptera; Forficulidae
Description: tRNA-Lys
Rfam family: tRNA
About the family: Transfer RNA (tRNA) molecules are approximately 80 nucleotides in length.
Source: RNAcentral
CGUGGAGAGGCUUAAAGUAAGCGAUGGUCUCUUAAACCAUUGAAGGUGGUUCACGCCCACCCUUGACGG